RNAcentral lists this ribosomal RNA (450 nucleotides) under Triticum aestivum (bread wheat). RNAcentral describes it as "partial small subunit ribosomal RNA". Lineage: Eukaryota; Viridiplantae; Streptophyta; Magnoliopsida; Poales; Poaceae. The record is from RNAcentral.
AUGAGAGAUGCUUUUGCUGAAAUGAUAAUUAUGGAUGGGCUCCCAUUUGCAUUUUCCGAGAAACCAGGAUUUACAAAGUUAAUGUCAAAGGCACGUCGUCGCUUUACUGUGCCAUCUAGGAGAACCACUAUCAGUUAUUGUGUCCACAUUUACUAUUGUGAGAAAGUGAAACUGAAAAAGUUCUUCAAAGAAUCUUGUGAUAGGGUCAGCCUAACAACCGACACCUGGACAUCUAUGCAACAGCAGAGCUAUAUCUGUGUUACGGCUCAUUUCCUUGACACUGACUGGAAGCUACAUAAGCGGAUUAUUGGGUUCUUCUUGGUGGGUGGUCGUAAGGGGGAAGACAUUGAGAAGGACAUCAAGAGGUGUUUGCUUGAUUCGGGUUUAGAGAAAGUGUUCUCCAUAACUGUUGACAAUGCAUCAGCAAAUGAUGGCACUAUAAGUAAAUGA